This 467-nucleotide ribosomal RNA is filed under the name uncultured bacterium. RNAcentral describes it as "bacterial SSU rRNA". It matches the Rfam family "Bacterial small subunit ribosomal RNA", at positions 32 to 507 of the family's 1533-position model. The record is from RNAcentral.
AAUCAACGCUGGCGGCGUGCCUCAGACAUGCAAGUCGAACGAUUAAGACUUCCUUCGGGAAGUGCAUAAAGUGGCGCACGGGUGAGUAACACGUAAGUAAUCUACCCUCGAGUGGGGAAUAACGUUCGGAAACGGACGCUAAUACCGCAUAACGCAGCGGCACCGCAAGGUGACAGUUGUUAAAGGAGCAAUCCGCUUGAGGAGGAGCUUGCGGCAGAUUAGCUAGUUGGUAAGGUAAUGGCUUACCAAGGCUACGAUCUGUAUCCGGUCUAAGAGGACGGUCGGACACACUGACACUGAAUAACGGGUCAGACUCCUACGGGAGGCAGCAGUCGGGAAUUUUGGGCAAUGGGCGAAAGCCUGACCCAGCAACGCCGCGUGAAGGAUGAAGUAUUUCGGUAUGUAAACUUCGAAAGAAUAGGAAGAAUAAAUGACGGUACUAUUUAUAAGGUCCGGCUAACUACGUG